GUCUCUCCAGUGAGUUCCGUUAGUAAACUAAGUGCUAACAUGUUUAUAUAACUACAAUCAAAUCUCUCCAGUUAAAUUUCAUAGAAUAGCUUGUCACCUCUCACCCAUACUCAACUGUUGUUCAGUCAGUAAGGGAUACCUCUCACUUUUUCUGUAUUUGACCUUUUGGACUACCUAUCUGGAAAACAGUUUCCCAGUUGCUGGUUUUUGCUUCUUCAGUUGUGGUUAUUUCUCACCUUCCCACCAGUGAGUCUUUAAUGUUCCCUGAAUAUUCUCGAUACAUAUGUAGGUUUGAAUGUCCCCUUCCUUGACUGUGACAUAAAAUCUUUCAAUUUUUAUUCACUUUCUUUAAAAACGAAGACCAACCUUGGAUGCAGAUAGGCUAUCGCCUCUGCUUAAAAUUUCUAGUGGCUCCUGUGGUCAUCAGUGUAAUACAAGCCUUCACAUCUGCUGCUC
RNAcentral lists this long non-coding RNA (456 nucleotides) under Bos taurus (domestic cattle). RNAcentral's name for it is "long non-coding RNA NONBTAT017399". Lineage: Eukaryota; Metazoa; Chordata; Mammalia; Artiodactyla; Bovidae. The record is from RNAcentral.